RNAcentral lists this long non-coding RNA (480 nucleotides) under Cavia porcellus (domestic guinea pig). RNAcentral describes it as "lncRNA (ENSCPOG00000037097.1)". Lineage: Eukaryota; Metazoa; Chordata; Mammalia; Rodentia; Caviidae. The record is from RNAcentral.
GGAGCUUUGUGUUUGGUUACCGAGGAGCUCCGUGGUGAGUCACGCAGUCCUGUGACCUGCCAGGCACCUUUCCAGUCCCAGGCGGGCGAGAUUCUUGACAACACAACCUGCCGUUGUUUGAAGAGCAGAUUUCAACAGCGACCUGUACACUCGGUAAUAGUAGGCUUUGUGGGGAACAAAAUUUGUUCCUAUUCCUGCUGAAUUAACAAAACACUGGUGAUGAGAUAACACUUAGUAAGGCUGACUCACUUCCUCCUUUCCAGAUGAAAGGAGUUGUCCAAGAAAUGACUAUCUCACAGGGAAAUAAUGUUCCCUGCAGCAGGUCUCACUGGUGAUGCCACAGCAGUUCCUCCCUGAAUCUCUACUGGAUGGUCUCUUCUUUCCUAUCAGCCUCCUCACUUUGGCUUGAACUGACUCAGCAAGACCUGUCCUUCGGAAGAUGGGGCUGUCCUUAUUCAGGGAGCCCUCCCAGGAACACGA